UGAGAACUGAAAAAUCAUAAGAGAGGUCUUAGGUUCAAUCAUGGGCAUCACCUUCCUUGCUUUGUCUAGGAACAUUGUGAUUUAUCUUCGCCUUGUUGGCUGUGGGGAUGAUUAUGGGUGGGUGGCAUAUACCCUUUACAAUUGUAGAGAGGCUAAUCCACUAAAAUUUUUCCUCAAGGAUUCAAAUAGAUAUUAUUUGAUGAUGGAUAAAUCAUUAAUAUAUCUACCCCUUGCUUCCUAUAUAACCCAAUCAUUAAAAUAUCCAAACCUAAUUCAUGCCUUACCUUCAAAGUUCAAACCCAAAUCAUAUCCCAACCUGCGCCCAGCAUUUCCCUGAAAGUCACCAUUUCUAUUCGAUAAUGUUUUCUACCAAAAUGUAGGAACACAAGAGCAUAUAGCAAUCAAUUUCGAUAGACCACAUAGCAAAUGAAAUCCUCUUUGAAUCAAGUCACGGCUGACAUCUCUUAAGUCAGGAAGGAUCAAACAACAUCUUAAAAAAAUGUGUGUGAAUAGGCAAGACCUUUUAUCAGAUACAUAGAAAGAGAUAAGUUUAAAUUGAACCAAAUACUGAGGGAAAACGCAUGUAGCCAUGAAAAAUAAGCUGAUGAUCAUUUCAAGGUAAAGCUCAGAUCCUCUUUUAUGCAAAACAAAAGUAUCACGACUAAAACAUGAGAGAUCCACAAGGUGUUGUUAGCUAGAUUGUGUAAAACCAUGAGCAUACUUCAAGCCAUAUGAGAUUCGGCACCAAGAAAUGCCUCAAGCAACAAGAGCUCCAGGAAAAUGAGUGAAUUUCUUGUGUUCACAAACUAAAUCAUUGUGAUAUGAAGCUUUCAUACGCAUUGAAUCUCCUUCUAAGAUGAAAUAGAUCUUGGUAAAAAGAAAUACAUAUACAUGAUGAAACGAAAAGGGGUUGACAUUAUUGUGCAAAGAGUAAAAGCAAUCUGGAGUAACACAAUCUCAAAAAAUGAAGUGCUGGUUGAUGCAGAUUACAUAACACUCAGAAAUUCACGAAACUACUGAAACAAUAUAGCCUCUUACUAUAACACUCAGUGUACGAAGAAAGACUCAGGACAACUUCACUAAACCCUAAACCUUAAAUGCAAACACACGCAUGAGUUGAUUAGUCAAGGAAUUGGGGAGCCAAAAAGGAAAUAGAUACUAAAUCACAAGACUAAUUAGAACUACAGACCAGGAGAAGCUUUGACUUCAGAAACACACUCACUUCAAUGGGAUUACAACCAAACAAUGUAUAUGAUUGUCAAUUUUGACAUACAUAAGCUAAAAUUACAAAAAUUUCGAUAAUUCCCAAAGUUACGAUCAUGAUUUUCUACUCAAAACUAUAGACACGACUCUAAAAGAAGCCCAUACGAAAUCAACAUUGUGCUUUGGUUUACAUCCUGAAACUUUAUGCAACUUUCAGAGAAGUAUCUCUUUCUACCAGUGGACAUGUCUUUAGUCUUUACAUACAAAGAACAUGAGAUUAUGUGUAAGACGGACUCUAUCCAUGCAGAGAACAUUGAGUAACGACUUCUAAGGGAUUGGUUUCACUUGUAUUUGAAUUUAUGGAUGAAUGAGCCACAGUGUUCCAAAAACAUGUAGAGGGUAUCAUUAUCAUGAAUCAUAUCAUAGGAUACAAAUUUAAUUAGAAUACGUCUGAUAGAUAAUAUUAUUGGUGUUCCAAAAAAUCCUACUUAGGGCGCUUAAGCAUCCAUUGGGUGUUCUCCUUAUGGUUUUAAUUAGAAAGGGUCACUAAAUCAUCCACCUAGCUUAAGCAUCCCUCACCACUUAUAUUAGCCGCUAAUCGUCAAAAAUAAGAACUUGAAAAAUAAUAAGGGGACUAUUUCUCAUACAGGAAGUUAUCUUCUCAAUCCUUAAUGGCUAAUUGGCAUCACUAGAACAGUGAAACUAGCCAUGUUGAAAAAGUAACUUAGCUUUUAAUUCUAACAUGUACAUGUAUUCUGAUAAUAUUCAUAUCAUGUAUUGUGAAAUGAACCAUUUAUCCACCGAUGUUCCUGGGUGACCCUUGCUAAAACAAUUAAGCCCUAGAAGAACAAACCACAUAAUAACAUCAAGUUUUUGAGGUUUGAAUGCAGAAUCGAUUCAGCUAAAAGCGGAUGUGACCCAAAAUAAUAUAUAUCCAUCCAUCACUUAAGAAGUAUUUUUACCAUGUUGGAUAACUAGUCUGAAUUCUCAUGUGCAUCCAUCCGCCCACUCAAGGAUCACUUGUCCCCGCAUGCCCUUCACGUAUAAUGCUCCCUUGAUACUUAAGACAUGCACAUAUAACUGCAUGAUACAAUGAAACAAAUUAGGGUUUGUCAAUGCAAUGAGUUUUUUAAACAUUCAACAACAAUCUAUUUACAACUCCUUUCUCUAACAAUUGGUGAAUGCCACCCACCAACCGGUCCCACAGCUACCAACAUGGGGAAGGUAAACUACAAUGUCCACAAAGCAAGGAAGGUGAUGCUAGGCUUCAACCUACAACCUCACUUGUGGAUUCUCAUCUCAUUAGCAAGCAUGGAGGGACUCCUUGCUCUAACAAGAGUAAGCCUAAACAUGGAUACUUCUAGCACUAGUGUCCAAAAAAAAAACGAAACUCAAAAAGAAAACCAAGAUAAAUGAAAAGGGAAAAAUCCAGAAAAGCACAACCAUUUAUCUACUAGCAUUCAGAAAAACCCUUGCAUUUUGUUUAUAUGCAGAGAACCCUUAUAUUUUUUGCUACCUUUCACAUUAACCAAAAUAUCCGGUUUUUUAAAGAAAUUACCAAUUGUUUUGUGACAUGACAUUUAUCUUUUUCAUUUUUAGGUUAACAUGGAAUCAAAAAUAAGUGACGUUGCCUCUUAUCUAUGGUAAAACGUGAGAAAUAGAUCAUUUACUCAACAAUCAUUUACUUAGGCAAAUAUAAGUGACAUUGCUUAUUUUUUUUCCAUGUCAACUUAAAAACAAACAAGAUAAAUAUAUUGUCAUAAAACAACCGAUAAUUUAAAAUUAAAGAAAAAACCCAGAUAUUUGGGUAAAUCUGAAAUGUAACUGAAAAUGUAAUGGUUUUUCUGCAUAUAAACAAAAUAUAAGGGUUUCUCUGAGUGUUGGUAGAUAAAUGGUUGUGCUUUUCUGCAAUUUGAAAACAAAAAAAAAAAUCUGAAAAACCAACAGUUGGUUUCUCCGAAGUCAAAAUCAGAAAUUUUUGGUUCAUUACCAGUUUCAAGUGAAAAACCAAACAGAACCAUGUUCACCCUUAUCUAACACUAACAAAUUAAAAGGGCUGCACAGUGACUUAUCUAUUUCUAAGUAUCGGGACUACUACAGGAAAGUAAUCUUUAUCGAACAACAAAGAAACCCUACAUCGACUCCCUCAUAAAGUUAUAUACAUAAAUUGAUAAAUUGGAUAAAAAAGACAGAAUAACUAAUUCACACAUUGAAACAAAAACAAAAAGAGUGUCCAUUUUCUAUAAGAACAAAGAUCAUCCACAAAGCUAAAACAAUAUAUUACUCCCUCCAUUCGAGAAAAAUGUAAUGUUUGAUUUAUCAUGUACUUCAAUAUAUAGAAGUCUUUGACUAAUAAUCAAAUACCAAAAAUACCCCUAGGACAUAGGACAUAACUAACUGAGAAAACUUGUGCAUCAAAAUCAAUGUCACCAAUUUCUUGCUAUAAUUAUCCAGGGAAAAAUAGAUACAUUUGGACUAGAAUCCUCAGAAGUUUUGGUAGAACUCAAAACAAAAGUUGCUCCCUUAUAAAAUAAUCAAAUACAAUAAAAACUUCAUUAGAAGGCAUUAAGUAGAUCAUGUUCAGAUUCUUCUCCCACCAAACAUCUUCAACGUCGUCUUUUUGCCUAAUUUGUAUGUCCAUUUUCUCGUGGGUUAUUAAAACAUCUUAAUCUAGUUUCUAAAAAAAUGAAUUUAAGCAAAAUAAGCAUUCCAUACUUAACAUGCAUCCUAGAAAGUUGUGGAACUACUCAUAUGAUACGCAAAGGCAAAGCUUACAACCGGUAUAACAUUAAAAAUAGUCUAGACUCUAGAAUAACAAGUGACAUCUAAUAAAGCCAUCUUAAUUGCUUAAUUUUUUUACUAAUUAGUUGCAAAUUAUGGGAAGACAACAAUCAUAUCAUAUGAAUAUAACAUAUAUAUCCCAAGACAAUCUUUACCCUCAAGUGGAACUAAUUCAGGAGUUGUAUCAUUAUAUUAUUGUGAUCCUUGUUGUCUUAAUACAUGACCACACCAUGAUGAGGAAUAACUCAGAAACAAUUCUCCUUAAUUACUUAGUUUUUAUCUCGAAUUGGUGGUAAAAACUAAAAUAAUCAAAACUCUAAACGGUAAUUAUCCAGUUUGGGUGGAGCUUCAUUUAGUCUCAUUUCUUAUAACUUAUUCAUUUAGCACAAGCAAAAAGUAUCAGAAAGUUGUCAGCAAUCACCAACCAGCUAUCAUAGAUGUAGGCAGUUGAAUUGCAAGUAAAGUUACUCAUGCUUCAUUGCUUCUUCCUAAUACUGGAAGUUCUAAAUUUUUUUUAACAAAAUCGCACCUGAAGUUAUUUUAGCAUACAAAUUCACAGUUAUUUUGUUGCAUACAUUUUAAAGUGUUUAUGAUGAUGACCCUAAAAAAUCUCUAUUUAUUAUUUACAGUUCUGGCAAAGGGAGGCUGCAAUGUUAAAGCAACAACUGCAGAGUCUGCAAGAGAAUCAUAGGUAAAAUUUCUAUCUAACAAGAUUCAGUAAGUGCAAAGCAUGAAAACUAGUGAUACAGACUAUGUUCUUAAUCCAUAAGGACAACCUUUUACAUGAAUUUCUAAGAGGGCAAAUAGUUUGACAUGUUACAUUCAUAUACUACAUUAUUACAGGGCUAAAUAGUGAAUAAUCCUGGAAAUAAAAAACUAAUAAUUAGACUAUAUUGUAUAAUAGUUAUAAAGUUAAUAUUUGAUAUUGAGAAAUAAAAUGAAAUAUUAUUGGAUAUCUAAUAAAACAGAAUUACUAGAGAAAAAAUAAUAAAGAUUUAGAUACUUAAAUAUAAUUACGGGAGUAAAGUGAAAUAUAUUGAAUAAGGGGGUUAAAUAUACAAAACAUAAAAACAAUAUAAGCAUUUAAUAGUAGUUGAUACAAAAAUAAAAAUAAGUCGAGUGUUCCAAUGUAAUAACCUCUUUAAACAUUAUUUCAUAUAGUAAUAAACUNAAAAAAAAAAAAAAAAAAAAAAAAAAAAAAAAAAAAAAAAACCUCCCGUUCCCAUUGGAGAUGCUCUAACAACAAGUAAUCCUAUACUUGUAAUGCAAUCUAGUAUCCUUAAGAAACUUCUGGAAAUUGAUUAAAAUAUACAAGGAUAUAUUGAGUUUAACAAUAACAAUUAUAGGCGAAUGAUGGGUGAAGAGCUUUCUGGUUUAAGUGUGAAAGAUCUACAGGGCAUGGAGAGCCAACUUGAAAUGAGUCUCAGAGGUAUCCGUAUGAAAAAGGUUUGAAUCUACUAACCUUUAUCUAAUGCUAAUCUUGUGACUUAUAUACUUUACUUAUGUAACCAAAAAAACUUUGUCUUGAUGACAAUUGAUGAAUUGCUAUAGGACCAACUUCUUUUUGAGGAAAUCGAAGAACUCAGCCGAAAGGUCAAGCCAAAACCUUAAGACCAUUUUCAAAUGUCAAUUCUAGAGAAAGUAUAUCUUCAAGUAACUUGAUCUUUUUUUACUCAUUCAGGGGAAUCUCAUCCACCAUGAAAAUGUCGAACUUUGUAAGAAAGUAACCCAAAUUCGUGAAGAAAAUACCGAACUCUACAACAAGGUAUUUAAUAUUUUAUCAACUGCAGUGAAAAAUAUUUCAGUAAAAUCAUGAAACAUAAUGAAUUAGUAAUUUUGUCACCUCCUAGAUUUAUGGAAUAAGAGAUGGAGAAGCAGCAAACAGAAAUGUAUUUUUGACAAAUGGUUCAAGCAUGAGAGAGGAUCCACAUCCCCCAAUCCAUCUCCAGCUUUCUCAGCCAGAUCAACACGAUGCAACUGAUCAAGCACCACUCCAUUCUACAAAUUUGGGGUGAUUAUUAAUAAUCUUUUAUUCAUUUUGUUAUAUUAAUAUCUCAAAGGUUUCAAUCAUAUAGCUAGAAUGAACAAUUAUUUUCUGAAAAUGAUGCAGAUUAUAACUACAAUAAUGAGAAGAUGGGUGAACUCCAAAGGCUGUUAAUUCAUUCCUCAUCAAAGAUAAACCCGUCUAGUUUAAAAGUUUUAUAGUGUUAGUCAGUGGUUACCAGAUCAUAGACAAUUCAGAAAUGAUGGAAUCAAAUUUGGAAAAUGGAGGGGACCAAAAAAAAAACUAGCUGCCUGUAAAAGAUUAAAGAAGCAAAUAAAUUGAAGGUCAAAGAACUACAUGAGUGGGGUUUUAUAUUUUAUUUCAUGAAUAUUUUCACUUAGAUGAAAAGUAAGUAAGAUUUGUACUUGAUUUGCUGAAAUCUAAGAAAGAAAUGUACAUAUAUAUAUUUAUGAAGAUUUGAAGUUUGAACACCAUGCCCCACACCACUAAAAAGAAAAAAAUGAACAUAGAAAUAUAAACACAUGACAGGAUCCACCACACAGCAUGAAAACCAAGUGGGUUGUUAUAAAUCAUCCCCCCCCCCCCCAAAAAAAAAAAAAGCAACAAAUAGAUGCGAACAUCAUCAACAUUUUAGUAUGCAAACAAAAAAUAAAUAUCCACCAUUUGAUUUGUAAGAAAGUUAUAAACUUAUAAUACAUGGCAAGGUAAGGGAUAUUUUGAAAAUACGGAUAAAGGAGUACACAACUCUUAUUAUGUCUACCUGCAGCAGAUCAUUUUGUAUUUAGUUGAACAUGUAGAAGUUAUUCAUGUUGUUGGAAACUGUAUAAGAUUUUAGUUUCAUAUAUAAAACCAUUUGUAGUGGAUAGAUAUGACCACUCCAAUUAUUCAAAUUACACAUUGGUUCUCUUCAAUAAAAUCUCUUAGUUGAUAAUAAUUUGCUACGAAUUGCAGAAAAGAUUGCAAAUACCUUCUUUUCAAAUGAUACUAAUUCCCGAUCAUACCAAAUCUGGUACUCAUCUUUGUGUAUUGUAAAUUGUGAACAUUUAGUUAAACCAUGAAACAAGCAACAAAACUACCAGAAUGUGUCAUAAACUUAUAUCUGAGCAAAGAUGAGAGUUGUAUAUAUUAAACUUAAAGAUUGCUUCAAAACUCCAAAUUUAUGAGAGCUAUACACUAGCAUAUAGAAUAUAAAUGAUAUGGUUUUGUUAAUUUGCAAACAAAGAUAUAUUACAGAUCCUGGUAAAAAAACAAAUGAUUCAGUCAAACUUUAUCUAAUAUCAGCAUUAAUAGAACCUUUUCUUAGAAUAAAAGAUGGUUAUGCACUUAUGCAUACAAAUAGCAGGCAGCUCAAUAACCUUUUAGAAAGUAGAUUAAGAAGGUUAAAAAAUUGUUACUCAAUACUCAUAAACAAAGGCCAAACUAAGUUCAGGAAUUUCAUGUCCAUAAAACUGUCAAGUUCGUUAUUUUGGAAAAUUAACAAGCAUAAUUAGAAAAAAUACAAAGCACCUGAAAUUUCAAGCCAUCCACCUUCCAACAUGCAUUUGACUCCUUUUUUUGGUCUACAUGCAUCAACUACAGACAAUUUUAAAGAGAAAUCAAGUUGUAAUCCAAGUAAAACCUAGAAAGCUGAACCGUUUAAUCGUACACAAAACCGAGCGAAAGCAAAAAAAACAAAAGAUUCGUUGUGUCCUCGACAAUUAUGUCAGGUUUAAAGACUUUGAAAGUUGCAAAAAAAAGAGAAAAUAAAGCUUCACCAUACCUGUAACUCAUGCCAAGUUGCCAACAGGGAUCUGCCUUCGAUGAUUCGAUCAAAGCAUUUUCCUUAACAUACUGACCUAUGAGAGCAAUUUACAAACAAACAAACAUAAAAUUAUCUUCAAAAAUGAUAAAAAUAUGCUGAAACACAAGAAACAGCGAACUGGAUCAAUUCAAAGUACAAUUUACGUUCACAAAUCGUUUUCAGAAAACAGAAAUCAAGCAUUUUUUUUCUUUGUUCACUUUCAUACUAUUAUCCACAUUAAUAUAUAUCGACGCACGAUUAAUAUCACAUUUUUGUGAUUUUUUCUCGAUUCAUAAUUGAUCGAUUCACUUACCAGAACAUGUAGAAAACACGUGCACUGUUAUCAUCGAAACUCGAAUCGAUUCCAUGCUAACACCAUAUAGACAUGGCGAUAUCGAAUUUAAACUGUAUGUUUCAUGGAAGGAGACAGAUAAUUUAGCUGCUAGAAAAGAUGAUGAAGAGAGAAGGAGAUAUGGUGACGGUGAGGGUUGAAAAAUAUCUAGAACAGGAGGCGUGUCGACUGGUGCGUGGCUGGGUGGAGGGCUACAGUUGGUCCAUAGGGUACCCUCCCCCACCAG
RNAcentral lists this long non-coding RNA (8347 nucleotides) under Lactuca sativa (garden lettuce). RNAcentral's name for it is "long non-coding RNA (LSAT_LNC006869)". The record is from RNAcentral. Lineage: Eukaryota; Viridiplantae; Streptophyta; Magnoliopsida; Asterales; Asteraceae.